This 27-nucleotide small RNA is filed under the name Bombyx mori (domestic silkworm). RNAcentral describes it as "ovarian small RNA-19849". The record is from RNAcentral. Lineage: Eukaryota; Metazoa; Arthropoda; Insecta; Lepidoptera; Bombycidae.
UAAUGUUAAUAUUAUGAAUGGGGAGCA